CCAUGGGCCUCUGAUCGUGUCUCAUGCCAGAGCAAACUGUAGCCCCGAACCAUUGCCUUGCCUCCUGGCCCACAGGCUUCCGGCACUGAAGCGGGUUGCACAGCG
RNAcentral lists this small nucleolar RNA (105 nucleotides) under Echinops telfairi (small Madagascar hedgehog). Its description in RNAcentral is "Small nucleolar RNA SNORA42/SNORA80 family (ENSETEG00000023379.1)". It matches the Rfam family "Small nucleolar RNA SNORA42/SNORA80 family", at positions 32 to 136 of the family's 136-position model. Rfam says of the family: The members of this family belong to the H/ACA class of snoRNAs that guide the sites of modification of uridines to pseudouridines. Human ACA42 (SNORA42) was cloned from HeLa cells by immunoprecipitation with anti-GAR1 antibody. The record is from RNAcentral. Lineage: Eukaryota; Metazoa; Chordata; Mammalia; Afrosoricida; Tenrecidae.